CUCGUAGUUGGAUUUCUGGUGAGAGCGAUCGGUCCGACGCUUAGCGUGGGUACUUGCAUCGUCUCUGGCCAUCCUUGGGGAGAGUCUGUCUGGCAUUAAGUUGUCGGGCAGAGGAUCCUCAUCGUUUACUGUGAAAAAAUUAGAGUGUUCAAAGCAGGCUUAUGCCGUUGAAUAUAUUAGCAUGGAAUAAUAAGAUAGGACUUUGGUACUAUUUUGUUGGUUUGCGCACCAAAGUAAUGAUUAAUAGGGACAGUUGGGGGUAUUCGUAUUUCGUUGUCAGAGGUGAAAUUCUUGGAUUUACGAAAGACGAACUACUGCGAAAGCAUUUACCAA
This 333-nucleotide ribosomal RNA is filed under the name Extubocellulus cribriger. RNAcentral's name for it is "SSU rRNA". It matches the Rfam family "Eukaryotic small subunit ribosomal RNA", at positions 627 to 961 of the family's 1831-position model. Lineage: Eukaryota; Bacillariophyta; Thalassiosirophyceae; Cymatosirales; Cymatosiraceae. The record is from RNAcentral.